GGAGAGGUAUCGAAGAGGUCAUAACGAGCUCGACUCGAAAUCGAGUUGUCGGGUAAUACCUGGCACGAGGGUUCGAAUCCCUACCUCUCCG
This 91-nucleotide transfer RNA is filed under the name Lachnospiraceae bacterium. Its description in RNAcentral is "tRNA-Ser". It matches the Rfam family "tRNA". Rfam says of the family: Transfer RNA (tRNA) molecules are approximately 80 nucleotides in length. Their secondary structure includes four short double-helical elements and three loops (D, anti-codon, and T loops). Further hydrogen bonds mediate the characteristic L-shaped molecular structure. tRNAs have two regions of fundamental functional importance: the anti-codon, which is responsible for specific mRNA codon recognition, and the 3' end, to which the tRNAs corresponding amino acid is attached (by aminoacyl-tRNA synthetases). tRNAs cope with the degeneracy of the genetic code in two manners: having more than one tRNA (with a specific anti-codon) for a particular amino acid; and 'wobble' base-pairing, i.e. permitting non-standard base-pairing at the 3rd anti-codon position. Lineage: Bacteria; Bacillati; Bacillota; Clostridia; Lachnospirales; Lachnospiraceae. The record is from RNAcentral.